UCUCUCUCUCGAGGUUCUUUUCAGCCUCUCUCACAUUGCUCGCAUAGUGUUAAAUAUCUCAAACUGAGAUUAACUUCUACCCAAACCCUAAUUAUGUGAACCCUCUCAUUCUAGUCGUUCUCUCUACCAUUCUAAGCAGCCAUGGGCAUCCCUACGUUGCUCCGAUCUCGACAUCGUGACCUAGCUUCAGCCUCGCUUUGUGCCUACUGAUCUAGAAAAUGGAAUCGAUAUGGGUGAUGUCAUGAUAUUUCAGUUGCUGGACUUGGAUCCAGUGACCUCAAGGAUUGAAUAUCAUUGCACAACAGCUGGUACAUCCUAAUCUAGUUCAUAGUCUAUUUAGCAAAGUUUAUGAUGAUGAUGAGCUAAACUGGUUUCAAACUCUCCUAAGAAACUUGUCUGUUAGUUGGUUGAAUGAUAAAGCUAGUCAAGAAGACUCUGUUUUAAUUUAGAAUCUAACAGGAUUGUGCUAAGAAUUGGGGACUAAACUAAUUUGUAUGGUUGUGUUGUAUGCAAAAAAAAAUCCCAAAUUGCUUUUGAAACUGAUGAUGUAUACAGAAGUGCUUGCUGCUCAGCUUUUUCUAGACCGAGAUGGUUGGAAAACUGAGCAUGUCUAUCUGGCUCUGAUGAUGUAGAUUUGAACCAUCCCAAUCAUAAAGUUUCUGAGGCAACAAGAACCAAUUAUCAAAACUUAUAUUCCUUCUCCAGCUGUUUUGGAGGAUAUAUUUCUAGAUAACGUUUUUUUAGCUUCUCCUUUUUUUCUCCAUAUCGAAAAGGCUCCAAUGGCCUUGAUUUUUUCUAUAUUGGAAGGGCUCCAAUGGCCAUUUUGAAAAGGCUCCAAUAGCCUUGAUUUUUA
Molecule: long non-coding RNA, 853 nt
Organism: Rosa chinensis
Lineage: Eukaryota; Viridiplantae; Streptophyta; Magnoliopsida; Rosales; Rosaceae
Exons: 5
Source: RefSeq, a predicted model, not a curated record